Molecule: long non-coding RNA, 1602 nt
Organism: Cyanistes caeruleus (blue tit)
Lineage: Eukaryota; Metazoa; Chordata; Aves; Passeriformes; Paridae
Source: Ensembl
AUAUAUUUAUAUAUUUUUUAUAUAUAUAUAUAUAUUAGAAAGUUGGUUAGCCUGUCAGCUGUGGAUUUUAACCGCUCCUUCAAAUCCUCCAAACAAAAUUCCGAACCCCCUGAGGCGUGUUCACCCCAAAAAUCACAUCCAGACCUUCACUUUCCCAUGGAUUCCCCCUCACACAAUAAAUCUGUGAUUAUAAUUACAAUUAUAAUAAAAUUACAAUCCAAGAAAUAAAACCCCCCCUUCCUCCCUCCCUGGUGCUCUGAGCUCAAACCCUGCACUGCACCCCGAAAUUCUGUCAGAAUUCAGAGCCCUCCUGGCCCCGGGGCUGGAGGGAAUGAGAAGCAAGGCACAAUUUGAUUUUUCCGGGGCUCACCUGGUACUUGAGCAGAGGCACGUUGUAGUAGGAGGCGGCCGGGCUCUGCUCCGCCUGUUUCUGCAGCUGCCCGGUCAGCGCUGCCAUGUUCAGCCAGAAGUCCUUGGUGCUGGGGUCGCUCUGGGAGGGGUCGCUGCGGGGGCAGCACGGGCUGGCUACCCCCAGGAGCUGGCGGCCCCCUAAACCAGCUCCAAAGCAGCUCCUCGGGAUGCCCAGACCCGCUGGGAUCCCCCAAACUCAUCGCUGCAAUUCCCAGGAUGCCCAGAGCCCCGGGAAUCCCAAAAUCCCAAAACUCGGCUCCCCAUGGCUGCUCCCACUGCACCCCCAGGACACCCAGACCUCCAGGAAUCCCAAAAUCCCAAAACUCGGUUCCUCAUCGCUGCAAUUCCCAGGAUGCCCAGACCUCCAGGAAUCCCAAAAUCCCAAAACUCGGCUCCUCAUCGCUGCCAUUCCCAGGAUGGCCAGAGCCCCGGGAAUCCCAAAAUCCCAAAACUCGGUUCCCUAUCACUGCCAUUCCCAGGACACUCAGAUCCCCAGGAAUCCCAAAAUCCCAAAACUCGGUUCCUCAUUGCUGCAAUUCCCAGGACACUCAGAUCCUCGGGAAUCCCAAAACUCGGUUCCCUAUCACUGCAAUUCCCAGGAUGCCCAGAUCCUCUGGAAUCCCAAAAUCCCAAAACUCGGUUCCUCAUUGCUGCAAUUCCCAGGAUGCCCAGAUCCCCGGGAAUCCCAAAAUCCCAAAACUCGGCUCCCUACCGCUGCAAUUCCCAGGACACUCAGAUCCCCAGGAAUCCCAAAAUCCCAAAACUCGGUUCCUCAUGGCUGCUUCCACUGCACCCCCAGGACACCCAGACCUCCAGGAAUCCCAAAAUCCCAAAACUCGGUUCCUCAUCGCUGCAAUUCCCAGGAUGCCCAGACCUCCAGGAAUCCCAAAAUCCCAAAACUCGGCUCCUCAUCGCUGCCAUUCCCAGGAUGGCCAGAGCCCCGGGAAUCCCAAAAUCCCAAAACUCGGUUCCCUAUCACUGCCAUUCCCAGGACACUCAGAUCCCCAGGAAUCCCAAAAUCCCAAAACUCGGUUCCUCAUUGCUGCAAUUCCCAGGACACCCAGAGCCCCGGGAAUCCCAAAAUCCCAAAACUCGGUUCCCUACCGCUGCAAUUCCCAGGAUGCCCAGACCCUCUGGAAUCCCAAAAUGCCAAAACUCGGCUCCCCAUCUCUGCAUCCCUCAGCUCCAGAG